This 425-nucleotide ribosomal RNA is filed under the name uncultured bacterium. RNAcentral's name for it is "bacterial SSU rRNA". It matches the Rfam family "Bacterial small subunit ribosomal RNA", at positions 359 to 776 of the family's 1533-position model. The record is from RNAcentral.
GAAUUUUGGACAAUGGGGGCAACCCUGAUCCAGCCAUGCCGCGUGCGGGAAGAAGGCCUUCGGGUUGUAAACCGCUUUCGGCCGGAACGAAAUCGCCCGGGUGAAUAGCCCGGGUGGAUGACGGUACCGGAAGAAGACGCACCGGCUAACUACGUGCCAGCAGCCGCGGUAAUACGUAGGGUGCGAGCGUUAAUCGGAAUUACUGGGCGUAAAGCGUGCGCAGGCGGUCUCGUAAGACAGGUGUGAAAUCCCCGGGCUCAACCUGGGAACUGCGCUUGUGGCUGCGAGGCUGGAGUGCGGAAGAGGGAGGUGGAAUUCCACGUGUAGCAGUGAAAUGCGUAGAGAUGUGGAGGAACACCGAUGGCGAAGGCAGCCUCCUGGUCCAGCACUGACGCUCAUGCACGAAAGCGUGGGGAGCAAACAGG